UACAGAGGGUGCAAGCGUUGUUCGGAAUUAUUGGGCGUAAAGCGCGUGUAGGCGGCUUUGCAAGUCGGGUGUGAAAGCCCUCAGCUCAACUGAGGAAGUGCGCCCGAAACUGCAGAGCUUGAGUGCCGGAGAGGGUGGCGGAAUUCCCCAAGUAGAGGUGAAAUUCGUAGAUAUGGGGAGGAACACCGGUGGCGAAGGCGGCCCCCUGGACCGGUACUGACGCUGAGGCGCGAAAGCGUGGGUAGCAAACGGG
This 253-nucleotide ribosomal RNA is filed under the name uncultured bacterium. RNAcentral describes it as "partial 16S ribosomal RNA". It matches the Rfam family "Bacterial small subunit ribosomal RNA", at positions 524 to 776 of the family's 1533-position model. The record is from RNAcentral.